This is a long non-coding RNA of Ochotona princeps (American pika), 407 nucleotides long. RefSeq lists it as uncharacterized. The record is from RefSeq and is a predicted model, not a curated record. Lineage: Eukaryota; Metazoa; Chordata; Mammalia; Lagomorpha; Ochotonidae. The transcript has 3 exons.
AGGGGGACGCUGUCGGUUCCUGGCGGGAGAGACGAAGGAAAAGGCCGAGGACGUGGGGGACACUUAGAGGAGGAGAGGUUGUGGGACAUGGUGAGGGAUACAGCGGGGAAUACAAACGGAACACUCGCUUGUUUUAACUUUAAUGAAAACUGCGCUGGCAACAGGGCUGGCAGAGCCUGUGGUAGUUUGAAUGUUGAGGCCGGGAGGCGGGCCUAGAAGAUAUAAAGGGUUUGUCAGACGAUGAACUCUUGUGCAGUUCCUCGUUAGUAUAGUGACCUUUUGAAAUCCCCUGGCAUUUUCAGAAUGAGAAGAAAUUGGCCCACCUGUGGUGCUCACCUAAGGAUGAUGUCUUCAAAUUCUUGUACAGUGUCUGAAGAUCCCUCACAAACCAAGAACAACAAAAAAAA